UGGAGAAGCAGGACACGUGAG
This 21-nucleotide microRNA is filed under the name Sorghum bicolor (sorghum). RNAcentral describes it as "sbi-miR164c". Its record names the gene sbi-miR164c. The record is from miRBase by way of RNAcentral. RNAcentral also lists the same sequence under 1 other name. Lineage: Eukaryota; Viridiplantae; Streptophyta; Magnoliopsida; Poales; Poaceae.